Molecule: non-coding RNA, 402 nt
Organism: Legionella israelensis
Lineage: Bacteria; Pseudomonadati; Pseudomonadota; Gammaproteobacteria; Legionellales; Legionellaceae
Rfam family: Bacterial RNase P class A
About the family: Ribonuclease P (RNase P) is a ubiquitous endoribonuclease, found in archaea, bacteria and eukarya as well as chloroplasts and mitochondria.
Source: Rfam
AAAGUCGGUCAGGUAAUCGCUCUUUGUUUCAGGCUCAGUUGAAUUUAAAACUCAACUGGCCUGCAAAGGGAGGAAAGUCCGGGCUCCUCAGGACAGAGUGCCAGGUAACGCCUGGGAGGCGUAAGCCUACGGAAAGUGCCACAGAAAAUAUACCGCCUGUUAUUGCUAAGCGACAAACAGGUAAGGGUGAAAUGGUGCGGUAAGAGCGCACCGCGCGAUUGGUAACAGUCGUGGCAGGGAAAACCCCACUUGGAGCAAGACCAAAUAGGAAUCCAUUUGGCUGAUUUGCCAUCACGUACGGUCCGUACGGGAUUCGGGUAGGUCGCUUGAGGUAUACGGUGACGUGUAUCCCAGAUGAAUGAUUACCCACGACAGAACCCGGCUUAUCGACCGACUUUUUUA